Sitophilus oryzae (rice weevil) is the source of this 420-nucleotide long non-coding RNA. RefSeq lists it as uncharacterized. Lineage: Eukaryota; Metazoa; Arthropoda; Insecta; Coleoptera; Curculionidae. The transcript is spliced from 2 exons. The record is from RefSeq and is a predicted model, not a curated record.
GGUGAAGCUCAAGAAGAAUGCCAAUCGCAAAGUCCAAGUAAAGUUGAAUGUCCAGAAUCACAAGGUUUUGAUGUAAUGGAAGCAGUACCGCAAGCGUUUCAAUGUCCAAGUCAAGAGCUCGAAGAAGAGAGACAAAAGAAUCUCUACUAUAGGUACCACCAACAUUCGUUUAAUGAUUUACACUCUUACUUGCACGACCAAAGAACAUUUGUCAAAGAAAAAAAGGAAAAGGAAAAGGAAAAAGAAAUUGGAGAGAAAGAUAGCAAAACUGCCAAAGAUUGUACAGAGAAGUAGAAUAGUACCUGUAAAAAUUGUAGAAAUAUUUAUGUAAUUUUGUUGUAAUCAAAGAUUAACAAAAAAAUAUAUAAUCUACUAAAAAAAUACUAAUAAUUUAUCGCCAAUAAAUAUACAUUCACGUUA